CUACGGGGAGGCAGCAGCAAGGAAUUUUCCCCAAUGGGCGCACGCCUGAGGGAGCAACGCCGCGUGGAGGACGACCGCCUUCGGGUUGUAAACUCCUUUUGGGGGGGAAGAGCAUGACGGUACCCCCCGAAUCAGCCCCGGCUAACUCCGUGCCAGCAGCCGCGGUAAGACGGAGGGGGCAAGCGUUGUCCGGAAUCACUGGGCGUAAAGCGCGUGUAGGCGGUCGUGUGCGUCGGUGCUGAAAGCGCCCGGCUUAACCGGGCGAGGCGUGCCGAUACGAUGCGACUGGAGGCAGGCAGAGGGUGGCGGAAUUCCGGGUGUAGCGGUGAAAUGCGUAGAGAUCCGGAGGAACGCCGGUGGGGCAGCCGGCCACCUGGGCCUGACCUGACGCUGAGACGCGACAGCGUGGGGAGCAAACCGGAUUAGAUACCCGGGUAGUCCACGCCGUAAACGCUGCCGGCUCGGUGACCUGGGCGCCGUUCUCGGCGCCUGGGCGCCUUAGCUCACGCGGUAAGCCGUCCGCCUGGGAGA
This 531-nucleotide ribosomal RNA is filed under the name uncultured bacterium. Its description in RNAcentral is "bacterial SSU rRNA". It matches the Rfam family "Bacterial small subunit ribosomal RNA", at positions 339 to 880 of the family's 1533-position model. The record is from RNAcentral.